UUUCUUGAGUGUGUGGGAGUGAAGUCGAACCUGCAGGCUAUAAGGCCUUGAAUACUGGUUCCCAGGACAAGUUUCUCAGGUAUAAGUCAGACACUUGUCCAGUGCAUCCCGAAGCUGCAGGGGACACACAUCAAGUUCUCAGAAUCAUCUCACUGAAGCCCCUAUCACCAUGUUGAGGCCUCAGUUUCUUUGGCUGUGAAAUGCCCUGCCUUCCCAGCUGACUGCUCAGAAACUACAUGAUAGUGGGUGAGUAACAUGCUCUACAAAUACAAUAAUAAGCUUUUGUUCCCUCCUGCCCCAGAGCCUGUGCCCCUUUCCUAGAUCCUGGCCGACUAAGUAUCCAUCACACCAGGAUGGUGCAAUGUCACCCUGGAGUGCAGGGCCACAGAGGACCUGAAGGUGACCUGGGCAAGCAAGGGCCUCCCCAGGGAGCUGGAACAGAGGAACACUGGGGCCAAGCUCUGAGCCCCCCUAAGCCAGCCUGACUCCAGCCUCACCUGUGUGGUCAACAACCAUGUGGACCAGAAAACUACCACCUUAGACCUUGGGGAACUCUCUUGGGAUUAAGAGUGUGCCUGGCAAAGUGAGUGUGCCCACCUCUGCGGACAUUCAUUCCCGAGGAGAUUGGGGGUAUGGUAGGUUGGUGCUCAUCAUUGUCAAGAAGUAUGAUUCCAACCUCCCCAGCCCUUGGGACAGUACCAGAUGAGAUGGGAAUCAGAGAUAAUAAAGGUUGGCAUAUGACCCAGGAAAUUAUGGGAGGAGGUACGACGGCUGUACCAGGCACUGAUGUUUAU
Non-coding RNA from Delphinapterus leucas (beluga whale), 794 nucleotides. NCBI's taxonomy places the organism in Eukaryota, Metazoa, Chordata, Mammalia, Artiodactyla, Monodontidae. The record is from RefSeq and is a predicted model, not a curated record.